RNAcentral lists this long non-coding RNA (294 nucleotides) under Phoenix dactylifera (date palm). RNAcentral describes it as "long non-coding RNA (PDAC_LNC020181)". Lineage: Eukaryota; Viridiplantae; Streptophyta; Magnoliopsida; Arecales; Arecaceae. The record is from RNAcentral.
UUACCUAACAUUCUACACUCAUAGGGAAUUCCAAAGAGAUAACAUGCAUCAUCAUCGGAGGCCGUUUGACCCCCUAAAUAAUUCGCCGAAGUUGGAACUUCGACACAGUUUUUCCGUAGUGCCGGAAAAAUUUGUCGAAAUCCGAUUCUUCCUCUUUUAACCACCUCUACAACCCUUAUCCGACCCCUCUAGACUACAUCCACCCUUUGUAUAGCCUAAUAUCAUCAAAAGACUAGAUAGGGACGGAUAUUUACCUUUUUCUUUUUGGAAAUCAAGGUCCUUGCAUAGAGGGAA